RNAcentral lists this unclassified non-coding RNA (553 nucleotides) under Hevea brasiliensis (rubber tree). Lineage: Eukaryota; Viridiplantae; Streptophyta; Magnoliopsida; Malpighiales; Euphorbiaceae. The record is from RNAcentral.
AGGUGGGCUUUGAAUGUCAUCCAUAUUGUUCUGAUUAAAAAGUGUGUUUAACUUUAGAAAACUGGCAUCAAUCCAUGAUAUGAUGGUUUCAUAUUUGCAAUGAACUUGCUUUUUGAUUUGGGAAGGCUAGUUUUUGUUACCUUUUAUUGCAUAUGGCUCCUGGUUUACGGCAUUACGUUCUCCACAAAUUCUCAAUCGUAAAUUAUAAAAGUUGAGACAUGGGCAAAAUCGAAGUUGCGCUGAGAAGGAUAUCUAUAGAUAGAAGAAAGCAGCGGAGAAAUUUGACCAUUCGUUCGAGUGCCCAAGCACAACUCGUUAGGCAUUCUUAACGAUUUCAACAACUUUUUGUUUUAAAAACCAAUGGGGAAAGAUUUCCAUGCACGUUUUCUGCCUAGGGUAAUUUCAUAAGCGCAUUCAUUUACUUUUCUGCUAUUUCUCUGGAGUUAGCUUCGUCUUCAUGUUGCUGAGUUAAACAUACCUAAGCAGCUUAAAUUUAGUACCUGUACUCCGUUGGUUUUCUAACUCCAACGCAAUACCUAGUUCGAUAAAAUUU